This 101-nucleotide unclassified non-coding RNA is filed under the name Trypanosoma cruzi. RNAcentral's name for it is "spliced leader RNA, 5' partial". Lineage: Eukaryota; Euglenozoa; Kinetoplastea; Trypanosomatida; Trypanosomatidae. The record is from RNAcentral.
AUUAUCGAUACAGUCUCUGUACUAUAUUGGUACGCGAAGCUUUCAUUUUUGCUUUUGGCGGUUAUGUUUGGUCAAUUUAUUUGACCCGGGUCUACGGACCC